RNAcentral lists this non-coding RNA (371 nucleotides) under Lithothamnion sp. Lineage: Eukaryota; Rhodophyta; Florideophyceae; Hapalidiales; Hapalidiaceae. The record is from RNAcentral.
GGGGCUGCCUGGUUUCUACAUGCAAUUGAUUACUAUAGGUUUUAGAACAAUAAGUUUAGUUUAUUGAAUUAAGCUUUAAUAUAAAUCCAAGACACCAAAUAAUUCCUUUCUCUUUAAAUAAGGUUCUAGCUUAGUUAAAAGUAGUUUUGUUCCUUUUUAUAUUAUUGAGUCUCAAAUAAAAAAUCUUCAUUUUUAUUUGAUUAAUAUAUUGAAGAUGCUCUUAAGUAUUUAUUCUUAAGUAAAGUUUGUAUUCUUGAAUAUACCUUAAUAAAUUUCUUUAUUUAUGAUAUUUAUUUAAUCAAAAAUAGGCUAUCAUGAUUAGCUUAUAGAAUUCAUUGCUAUGGACGUGGGUUCGAAUCCCACCAGCUCCA